ACUCAAUCUGGCUUACAGCCUGCUCUCUGGAAUCACAGAGCACUUAAAGAUGGUAUUGUGAUCAUCCUCCUCUUGUUUGUUUUCUCAGAUGAACUGCAUGCAAUUUGAAGGUGGGGAGAUGCUCCCAUGCAUUGCAUCUUAUGCGCUAGUGCAUAAUAUAAUGCCUGGUAUAUGUAACAAUUAGGAAACUGGUUUUCAACUUAAUGCUGAAAAUGUUAAAAGCUAGAAGGCUGCCGAAAUUCAGUGAGGAGGAGAAACGAUGAGUGCAAAGAGAGAUCGUUUGCAAUUCCAGGAAAAGAACAGAAAUAUCUGAGGUUCAUUUUCAUCAACUGCAGGUUAUGGACACAAGAGUUUUGCAAAAAGAAAGAAUUACAACUUUAAAAAGUUUCAGGGUCAGUGCCUACC
RNAcentral lists this long non-coding RNA (405 nucleotides) under Homo sapiens (human). RNAcentral's name for it is "HSALNT0038628". Lineage: Eukaryota; Metazoa; Chordata; Mammalia; Primates; Hominidae. The record is from RNAcentral.